AGCAGUGCCAGUAUCAGCAGCAGUAUUUACUGUACUACCACUACUACUAGUAGUAGUCACAUUCCUAUUACUACCACCAAUACUACCAAUAGUAGUUAUAAAGCCUAACUCAUGUAUAUCCAGAUUACCAUCUAUGUUCUUCCUCCAAACCCAUUUUAUUAUUGGGAUUACAGGCAGUUCUUUAGGACUGCUCUCAAAUAAUUGAAAUGUUACUAAACAAGGUUAUACUUAUCAAAUUAAAUAGCUCUGGUCUCCAGUAUAUUGGCGAAUUCGGUUAUUUGUACUUAAUUUAUUAGCAUGAUUUCUUUUUAAUAUGUUGUGUACAGACUUACUUACUUCUCUGUCUACUUUUCUUACUCCAUGUAGGUUUCCCAGAGACUAUGGGUUGAGGAGGAAUUGGAAGUUUGUCGGGUUAGACCUGGUGUCAUUCCAUCAGUGUUAAACUUCCCGGCUCAUCUUGGAAGAGUACGUGCCAGAAAGACCACGACCAAGCAGCCUUGAGAUCUUAGGCAGCGUCUCCCUGAGGUCCCUCUCUAUCUCCCCACACAUCCACCAACCACUGGAACACAUCUCCAAAGUUCUGCUGGGCCAGCUCAGCUUCCCCUCAGAAGAAGUGCAACCACCUGCCAGAUGAAGGAGCCUUUUGAGAGGCAGCUGGCAUCGUGAUUGGACUGUACUUUGGUCUGUUUCAGUCCAGCUUCAGCUCCAGAGACGGCAGGCGGGACGAGUCAACGGAGGCCGGGUGGACGAAGGCAUGCAGCUGAGUACAAUCCAGAAAACAACAGAGGAGGAGUGCAGCGGCCCAGGGCCAGACCAAACAGAGUAGCACAUUAUGUCUCUUAGAAAACAUCAUAGUAUAGCCUUUGGUAUGAAAAAACACCAUCAUAUACAUCGUAUAUUGUACAAAUAACAAGUCAAAGCAAAGAGACAUACAUUGUAGAAUUGUAGUAAUUGUGGGCUGACUGAUUUACUGAUUAUCAGUAUUUUAUUUUUUACUGAUUUAUGGUAAUAAAUACAUUUAAAAAUGGUGCUACUUUGGCUCUGAACCUUUAUCUACCUGUGGUCGCGCUGUCUUCUGGAGUGAUUUGAUUAGUUAUACGUCAAGAAUAAAACUCCUUUAACUUAACAUCUGUAAACAAAACAAAAACGUAUCAAUAAAGUUUUCUGUUA
This is a long non-coding RNA of Amphiprion ocellaris (clown anemonefish), 1170 nucleotides long. RefSeq lists it as uncharacterized. The transcript has 2 exons. NCBI's taxonomy places the organism in Eukaryota, Metazoa, Chordata, Actinopteri, Pomacentridae. The record is from RefSeq and is a predicted model, not a curated record.